This 328-nucleotide long non-coding RNA is filed under the name Mytilus galloprovincialis (Mediterranean mussel). The record is from RNAcentral. Lineage: Eukaryota; Metazoa; Mollusca; Bivalvia; Mytilida; Mytilidae.
CAGAGAGAAAAUAUUUAACUCAUUAACAGAUAGUUUUGAUAAGAAACCUAAAGAUUAUUGGGAAAUACUUAAAGGAAUGAAAAACAAAAAAAAUACUGGUAAUGAAGUGCCAGAAAUUUUAAAAGAUGAAGAAAUAAUUACGAAGCAUAUUCAGGACCAAGGAAAACCCACAUUUGUAAAUAUAAAAUGGAAAGAGGAAAUAGAAAAACAACUUGUUAAUAUUGAAAAAGAACAUAAUAUCUAAUAGAGAAACAGAUGCUCCAAUAAAAUACUCUGAAAUAAAAAAUGUUAUUAGUAAGCUAAAAAAAGAAAAAGUGCCUGGGCCAGA